Molecule: long non-coding RNA, 391 nt
Filed under: Medicago truncatula (barrel medic)
Lineage: Eukaryota; Viridiplantae; Streptophyta; Magnoliopsida; Fabales; Fabaceae
Description: long non-coding RNA (MTRU_LNC005949)
Source: RNAcentral
CCACCAAUAGCAUCGACCAAAUCAUUAGAUAUUGCAUCUUUACCAGUCCAAAUUCUCCCUUGUGCAACCUCUUCCAUCUUGUCUAUAGUCAUUAAUCUUGAAAGAGCCGCAUCAUCUCGAAAUUGUUUAUACGCAAGACUCUUGGUAAAUUUCCCUGUUUUACGUGGCCUAGAAGAACCCUUUUUAGCAGCGUGGAGCUUGUAAAAGUCACCAUCAUCUGGAUAUUCUUUCAAUUUAAUCAUUCCAUCUAUAUUCUCAUUCUCAGGUAUUAAGUUUUCCAAGUCCACCCCAAUUGAACCAGUUAAGGUAAGAUUUUCCGCAACAAUAACUUAUGCGCCCAUUGCCAGAUCGGACCACGAAGCAAUAACUGGUUUUUUGGCAGCAAGAGACC